AAAAGUAAAGCAUAAAAUUAGAUGCGACUCGUUUACACUGAGUGGACCUAUCGGCAGAGAUAGUACUUUUA
RNAcentral lists this transfer RNA (71 nucleotides) under Vermetus bieleri. RNAcentral's name for it is "tRNA-Val". The record is from RNAcentral. Lineage: Eukaryota; Metazoa; Mollusca; Gastropoda; Littorinimorpha; Vermetidae.